Molecule: ribosomal RNA, 699 nt
Filed under: uncultured Bacteroidota bacterium
Lineage: Bacteria; Pseudomonadati; Bacteroidota
Description: bacterial SSU rRNA
Rfam family: Bacterial small subunit ribosomal RNA
Source: RNAcentral
AGAGUUUGAUCCUGGCUCAGGAUGAACGCUAGCGGCAGGCCUAAUACAUGCAAGUCGGACGGGAUUGGGGGCUUGCCCCCAUGAGAGUGGCGCACGGGUGCGUAACACGUAUGUAACCUACCCUUAUCUGGGGGAUAGCCUCUCGAAAGAGAGAUUAACACCGCAUAAAAUCACAGUACGGCAUUGUACAAUGAUCAAAUAUUUAUAGGAUAGGGAUGGGCAUGCGGGACAUUAGCUAGUUGGCGGGGUAACGGCCCACCAAGGCUACGAUGUUUAGGGGAUCUGAGAGGAUGGCCCCCCACACUGGUACUGAGACACGGACCAGACUCCUACGGGAGGCAGCAGUAAGGAAUAUUGGUCAAUGGAGGCAACUCUGAACCAGCCAUGCCGCGUGCAGGAAGACAGCCCUAUGGGUCGUAAACUGCUUUUAUACCGGAAUAAACCCCUUUACGUAUAAAGGGUUGAAUGUACGGUAGGAAUAAGGAUCGGCUAACUCCGUGCCAGCAGCCGCGGUAAUACGGAGGAUCCAAGCGUUAUCCGGAUUUAUUGGGUUUAAAGGGUGCGUAGGCGGCCUGCUAAGUCAGGGGUGAAAUUUUCCGGCUCAACCGGGACAUUGCCUUUGAUACUGACGGGCUUGAAUGCAGCUGAGGUAGGCGGAAUGUGACAAGUACGGGAAAUGCAUAGAUAUGUCACAGAACA